Molecule: ribosomal RNA, 497 nt
Filed under: uncultured bacterium
Lineage: Bacteria
Description: partial 16S ribosomal RNA
Rfam family: Bacterial small subunit ribosomal RNA
Source: RNAcentral
GAUGAACGCUGGCGGCGUGCCUAAUACAUGCAAGUCGAGCGAACAGACGAGGAGCUUGCUCCUCUGACGUUAGCGGCGGACGGGUGAGUAACACGUGGAUAACCUACCUAUAAGACUGGGAUAACUUCGGGAAACCGGAGCUAAUACCGGAUAAUAUAUUGAACCGCAUGGUUCAAGAGUGAAAGACGGUUUUGCUGUCACUUAUAGAUGGAUCCGCGCCGCAUUAGCUAGUUGGUAAGGUAACGGCUUACCAAGGCAACGAUGCGUAGCCGACCUGAGAGGGUGAUCGGCCACACUGGAACUGAGACACGGUCCAGACUCCUACGGGAGGCAGCAGUAGGGAAUCUUCCGCAAUGGGCGAAAGCCUGACGGAGCAACGCCGCGUGAGUGAUGAAGGUCUUCGGAUCGUAAAACUCUGUUAUUAGGGAAGAACAAAUGUGUAAGUAACUAUGCACGUCUUGACGGUACCUAAUCAGAAAGCCACGGCUAACUACGUG